AGACAUGAUGGUGAUCCAGCAGCGCCAUCUGUUUCUCUGCGGUUGGCCAGGGUUGCGUUGUCUUGGCUCAUCUGGCUGGCUAAGCGAAAUAUCCCAUUCCUCCCUCACUGGUCCCUGUAUGUCCCUCUUGAAGCUGUCCACUUGAUAGAAGACAACUCUCUCCUGGGGGAGCAGUGUUCAACCGAAGAGACACAAGUAGCUGUGUUCCUCUGCUAGGACUUCCAAACAACACCCGGAGCCAGUCCUCCUUGACGGAUUUCAAGAGCCGAGGACUGAGUCCUCCUG
RNAcentral lists this small RNA (285 nucleotides) under Mus pahari (shrew mouse). RNAcentral describes it as "sRNA (MGP_PahariEiJ_G0008090.1)". It matches the Rfam family "7SK RNA". Rfam says of the family: 7SK was discovered as an abundant small nuclear RNA in the mid-70s but a possible function has only recently been suggested. Lineage: Eukaryota; Metazoa; Chordata; Mammalia; Rodentia; Muridae. The record is from RNAcentral.